UUAGUAAUUUCCCCGGGGGAAACUAGCAUAUCAAUAAGCGGAGGAUAAAGAAACCAACAGGGAUUGCCCUAGUAACGGCGAGUGAAGCGGCAACAGCUCAAAUUUGAAAUCUGGCUCUUUUAGAGUCCGAGUUGUAAUUUGCAGAGGGCGCUUUGGCUUUGGCAGCGGUCCAAGUUCCUUGGAACAGGACGUCACAGAGGGUGAGAAUCCCGUACGUGGUCGCUGGCUAUUGCCGUGUAAAGCCCCUUCGACGAGUCGAGUUGUUUGGGAAUGCAGCUCUAAAUGGGAGGUACAUUUCUUCUAAAGCUAAAUAUUGGCCAGAGACCGAUAGCGCACAAGUAGAGUGAUCGAAAGAUGAAAAGCACUUUGGAAAGAGAGUCAAACAGCACGUGAAAUUGUUGAAAGGGAAGCGCUUGCAGCCAGACUUGCUUACAGUUGCUCAUCCGGGUUUCUACCCGGUGCACUCUUCUGUAGGCAGGCCAGCAUCAGUUUGGGCGGUAGGAUAAAGGUCUCUGUCACGUACCUCCUUUCGGGGAGGCCUUAUAGGGGAGACGACAUACUACCAGCCUGGACUGAGGUCCGCGCAUCUGCUAGGAUGCUGGCGUAAUGGCUGUAAGCGGCCCGUCUUGAAACACGGACCAAGGAGUCUAACAUCUAUGCGAGUGUUUGGGUGUCAAGCCCGAGCGCGUAAUGAAAGUGAACGGAGGUGGGAACCCGCAAGGGUGCACCAUCGACCGAUCCUGAUGUCUUCGGAAGGAUUUGAGUAAGAGCAUGGCUGUUGGGACCCGAAAGAUGGUGAACUAUGCUUGAAUAGGGUGAAGCCAGAGGAAACUCUGGUGGAGGCUCGCAGCGGUUCUGACGUGCAAAUCGAUCGUCAAAUUUGGGCAUAGGGGCGAAAGACUAAUCGAACUAUCUAGUAGCUGGGUUCUGCAGUUUUUCCCCCCCCCCCAGA
Molecule: ribosomal RNA, 952 nt
Filed under: Alternaria alternata
Lineage: Eukaryota; Fungi; Ascomycota; Dothideomycetes; Pleosporales; Pleosporaceae
Description: partial large subunit ribosomal RNA
Rfam family: Eukaryotic large subunit ribosomal RNA
Source: RNAcentral